This 253-nucleotide ribosomal RNA is filed under the name uncultured bacterium. RNAcentral's name for it is "partial 16S ribosomal RNA". It matches the Rfam family "Bacterial small subunit ribosomal RNA", at positions 524 to 776 of the family's 1533-position model. The record is from RNAcentral.
UACGUAGGGGGCAAGCGUUAUCCGGAAUUACUGGGUGUAAAGGGGGCGUAGACGGUAAUGUAAGUCUGGAGUGAAAGGCGGGGGCCCAACCCCCGGACUGCUCUGGAAACUAUGUUACUAGAGUGCAGGAGAGGUAAGCGGAAUUCCUAGUGUAGCGGUGAAAUGCGUAGAUAUUAGGAGGAACACCAGUGGCGAAGGCGGCUUACUGGACAGUAACUGACGUUGAGGCUCGAAAGCGUGGGGAGCAAACAGG